Rosa rugosa (rugosa rose) is the source of this 2491-nucleotide RNA transcript. It is a transcript of the gene named GPCR-type G protein 1, with no coding region annotated. Lineage: Eukaryota; Viridiplantae; Streptophyta; Magnoliopsida; Rosales; Rosaceae. The record is from RefSeq and is a predicted model, not a curated record. The transcript is spliced from 13 exons.
GAAAUAGAGAUACCUGCUUUGACCGAAAAAAAAAAGAAUUAAUAGAGAUAGCUAUAAGCUUCGAAAGAGGUUCGAAUACUGGGAAGCCAAAGAUUCAUUUUAUUUUUCAGAAACGAAAAUAGAAGAGCAGAAGUGUGAGUAAAGUAACGGAAGUUGGUUAAUUAGGAAUAGAAGAGAUCUGAAGAAGAAGGCGAAGAUGGGUUGGGGUUGGGCAAUAUGGGAGGGAGUGGUAGCGGGGGGAUCUCUGGGACUGCUGGGUUGGGCCGGGUUGUGGUUCUUGAACCGAAGGCUGUACAAAGAGUACGAAGAGAAGAGGGUGUUAGUUCAGAUCAUUUUCAGCGUCGUCUUCGCCUUCUCUUGCAAUCUGUUGCAGCUCGUCCUCUUCGAGAUCAUCCCCCUUCUCUCCCAGAGGGCACGAUGGCUCAACUGGAAGCUCGAUUUGUUUUGCCUCAUACUCUUACUCGUUUUCAUGCUGCCUUACUACCAUUGUUUUCUCAUGCUUUGCAACAAUGGAUUCCGUAAAGAGCGCGCGGCUUUUGGAUCCGCCUUGUUCCUCCUCGCUUUCCUUUAUGCUUUCUGGCGCAUGGGAAUUCACUUCCCCAUGCCUUCCCCUGAUAAAGGCUUCUUCACAAUGCCCCAGCUGGUCAGUCGGAUUGGGGUCAUUGGCGUUACCGUCAUGGCUGUCUUGUCUGGCUUUGGAGCUGUCAAUUUGCCCUACAGUUAUUUAUCUCUCUUUAUCAGAGAGAUUGAGGAAGCCGAGAUCAAGUCCUUGGAAAGACAGCUAAUGCAAUCCAUCGAGACUUGUAUUACUAAGAAAAAGAAAAUCAUUCUUUCUCAGAUGGAGAUGGAAAGGAUUCAAGGAUCAGAAGAGAAAUUAAAGGCUAGAUCUUUCUUUAAAAGAAUUGUUGGCACUGUUGUGCGAUCUGUGCAAGAGGAUCAAAAGGAGCAAGAUAUCAAAAACAUGGAAGCAGAAGUGCAAUCAUUAGAAGAGCUUUCAAAGCAGCUAUUCCUGGAAAUAUAUGAGCUUCGUCAAGCAAAGGAGGCUGCUGCUUAUUCUCGUACCUGGAGAGGUCAUAUGCAGAAUCUACUUGGCUAUGCAUGUUCAAUCUACUGUGUAUAUAAAAUGAUUAAGUCUUUGCAGAGUGUUGUUUUCAAGGAGGCUGGCUCUGUGGAUCCUGUGACGAUGACAAUUAGCAUAUUUCUGCAGUUUUUUGACAUUGGCAUCAAUGCAGCAUUAUUAUCACAGUAUAUUUCACUCUUGUUCAUUGGAAUGUUGAUUGUUAUAUCAGUACGGGGAUUCUUGACAAAUUUGAUGAAGUUCUUUUUUGCAGUUUCCAGAGUUGGAAGUGGAUCUUCUAGCAAUGUCGUAUUGUUUCUGUCGGAAAUUAUGGGAAUGUACUUUGUGUCAUCUAUUCUUUUGAUCAGAAAAAGCUUGGCAACUGAGUACAGGAUGAUCAUAACAGAUGUUUUGGGUGGAGAUAUUCAAUUUGACUUCUAUCACCGGUGGUUUGAUGCUAUCUUUGUGGCCAGUGCUUUCCUUUCUCUGCUCUUGCUUUCUGCACAUUAUACUUCUCGGCAGGCUGACAAACACCCGAUCGAUUAAUGUAAUUUAAUGCCAAACUUUCAACCAAAGGAUGAGAGUAGAUUACAUGUGAGGAUUCCAUUAUGAAGUUCCCUGCAAAUUCUUAAUGAAGUUCCCAGAAGGAUCUCAAUAUCUUAUGUCUCGUGGUAGCCUGCUCCCUUGCAAACUUCCAAUAAGGAUUAGCCAGAAGAGUUUGGCACUUGUGAAUGAAAAGCAACAAUAUCCAGCAGCUUUGGUCAACCUUACUGUUUACAACUGUGAGCCAGGUGGAGAUGAGGAAGAAAGCCAAUAGUGUUUUUGGGGUUGGAAAGGGAAUCCAAGUUGUCCAACACAGUAGUGCUGUUAACUUAGCUUACAGUGAUUGUAACGAUGGAUGGUCACACAUAGCAGUGGUGAACUUCCACAGCGGUUGGUGGUGCUUGUUACCAGAAGUCUUUUACAGUGAUAUAAUGCAGCCUAGCUGGCUUACAAAACCUGAAUGGUUUCCGACAGAGGGUCCUGGAGGAAGAAGACUGAGAGCAGUGUGGUGUUAAAUCUGCAAACCAUAAAAUGUUGCUCAUCAAGACUCAAUUGUACAGGAAUUAUUAGGUGAAUCCAAUAUGCCAGCUACUUUGUCAAAAGGAAAAAAAAGAAAAGAAACUAUACUAAAAGAGAAGAGUUUGCUUGCCAUGUUUGGAUUCUCAGCCUGUCCAUCUCUCAGCUCGGAACUCUUUAUGGGCUCUGGAUUUAGCCACCUUUUAAGACUUUUUCCUCCUGUAUGGCUCUAUUGCGGUUUCAACUAAUAUCUCUUCAUGAGGGUGUAAUAUUUUCCUCGCAUCUCAAAGAAAUUUCAUGAAGCGAUACGAGUUGGCAUAAACAAUGUUGUGGAGAUACUUCAAUAAUGUCAUUGUUUCUUUCCUUUUCAUUUCA